This is a long non-coding RNA of Gorilla gorilla gorilla (western lowland gorilla), 1332 nucleotides long. RefSeq lists it as uncharacterized. The transcript has 5 exons. The record is from RefSeq and is a predicted model, not a curated record. NCBI's taxonomy places the organism in Eukaryota, Metazoa, Chordata, Mammalia, Primates, Hominidae.
ACCACUUACUGUUGAUUGUGAUGAAAUGCCAGCUGAGGCACACGCCUUGGGAGCUAAGUGGUUGCUGCCCUUGACUACUAUGAAGACUGGUGUGGGAAGGGUCGCUUUGGAUGCACUUGAGCAGGGGUCCCCAACCCCUGAGCCAUGGAGCCGUAAGGAGCCACACAGCAGGUGGGACCAUCCAGUUUCAGGAAAACAAGCUUAACACGCCCACUGAUUCUACAUUAUGCUCCUACCUCCCGGCAGCCUCGCCAGGCCCAGAACUCUCUCCAGUCAGCCUCUACAGACCAAGCUCAUGACUCACAAUGGCCUAUUUAGGCCCAUACCCUACCUCACGGCAGUCUCCGCAGAUGAGCCUACUGCCUCACAACAGCCUCCACAGGCACAGCUCCAUCGUUACAAUGGCCUCUUUAGACCCAGCUCCUGCCUCCCAGCCUUCUCUCCAGGCCCUGAACUUUCUCCGUGGGACCAUCCAGUUUCAGGAAAACAAGCUUAACACGCCCACUGAUUCUACAUUAUGCUCCUACCUCCCGGCAGCCUCGCCAGGCCCAGAACUCUCUCCAGUCAGCCUCUACAGACCAAGCUCAUGACUCACAAUGGCCUAUUUAGGCCCAUACCCUACCUCACGGCAGUCUCCGCAGAUGAGCCUACUGCCUCACAACAGCCUCCACAGGCACAGCUCCAUCGUUACAAUGGCCUCUUUAGACCCAGCUCCUGCCUCCCAGCCUUCUCUCCAGGCCCUGAACUUUCUCCGUAAGUUGAGGUAGCUGGGACUGUAGGUAUACAUGACGAUACUUGGCUAAUUUUUAAAUUGUUUUGCAGACAUGGGGUCUCACUUUGUUGGCCAGGCUGGUGUCAAACUAAUGGCCUCAAGUGACCCUUCCACCCCUGCCUCCCAUCCUCGAGGUAUGUGCCACCACAAGGGGCACUUGUUCAAUUUUCUAAAGAAAAAAUUUCUAAAGUAAGGCUGUGGGAUGAUGGCAGGAAGAUAAAAGAAAAACAGAAGAAUAAGUUAAAAUGACUUAUUCACACAUAUUCUUUUGACAGCAAGAAGAACUGUUAGUAUAUACAUUCCUUACAAACAAACAAACGGCAGAUAAACAAUGUUGUAUAGGAACUUCAACACACACUGUACAAUAUUCCCACUUUGCUGACAUAAGUUAUGGAAAUUUCGUGGUUUCCUUGAGUGUCGCUACCAGUAUUUUGCUCCUCUGACGAUUUUUAUCAACUUCCUCAUCUGUUAACUUCUCUCCAAGGUAUGUCAUGUCACGACAUGCUGCCGCUGCACGAACACGGCCAGUGUCUUCCUAUUAAACAUGUAGAAUGCUUUCC